CUUGGUCAUUUAGAGGAAGUAAAAGUCGUAACAAGGUUUCCGUAGGUGAACCUGCGGAAGGAUCAUUAAAAAUAUUAUUACACCCUUUUAGGCACAAACUCUGAAUCUUACCUUCAAUAAUUUUUUAAAAAAACUUUCAACAACGGAUCUCUUGGUUCUCGCAUCGAUGAAGAACGCAGCGAAUUGCGAUACGUAAUAUGACUUGCAGACGUGAAUCAUUGAAUCUUUGAACGCACAUUGCGCCCCGGGGUAUUCCCCAGGGCAUGCGUGGGUGAGCGAUAUUUACUCUCAAACCUCCGGUUUGGUCCUGCUUCGGCCUAAUAUCAACGGCGCUAGAAUAAGUUUUAGCCCCAGCCUUUUUCCUCACCCUCGUAAGACUACCCGCUGAACUUAAGCAUAUCAAUAAGCGGAGGAAAAGAAACCAACAGGGAUUGCCUCAGUAACGGCGAGUGAAGCGGCAAAAGCUCAAAUUUGAAAUCCCCCGGGAAUUGUAAUUUGAAGAGAUUUGGGUCCGGCCGGCAGGGGUUAAGUCCACUGGAAAGUGGCGCCACAGAGGGUGACAGCCCCGUGAACCCCUUUAACGCCCUCAUCCCAGAUCUCCAAGAGUCGAGUUGUUUGGGAAU
Molecule: small RNA, 623 nt
Filed under: uncultured Ascomycota
Lineage: Eukaryota; Fungi; Ascomycota
Description: eukaryotic LSU rRNA
Rfam family: Eukaryotic large subunit ribosomal RNA (bases 358-623)
Source: RNAcentral